Molecule: small nuclear RNA, 106 nt
Organism: Otolemur garnettii (small-eared galago)
Lineage: Eukaryota; Metazoa; Chordata; Mammalia; Primates; Galagidae
Source: Ensembl
GAGCACCCCUUGGCAGCACUUACGUUAAAACUGUCAUGGUGCAGAGAAGGUGACCAUAGCCCUGUGCAAGGAUGACACACAAAUUCACAAAGUGCUGCAUAUUUUU